RNAcentral lists this ribosomal RNA (215 nucleotides) under uncultured fungus. RNAcentral's name for it is "partial small subunit ribosomal RNA". The stretch from base 40 to 215 matches the Rfam family "Eukaryotic small subunit ribosomal RNA", at positions 686 to 864 of the family's 1831-position model. The record is from RNAcentral. Lineage: Eukaryota; Fungi.
GGGUCAGUAGGUUGGUCGUGCCACUGGUAUGCACUGGCCUUACUGAUUCCUCCUUCUUGAAGAACUGUGAUGUCAUUUACUUGGUGUUGCAGGGAAACAGGACUGUUACUUUGAAAAAAUUAGAGUGUUCAAAGCAGGCGUGCGCCUGAAUAGAUUAGCAUGGAAUAAUGGAAUAGGACUUUGGUCUUAUUUUGUUGGUUUCCGAGACCGCAGUA